AUGAGGAUACUUGACGCGUGCCUCACACCGAUGAAUGGGAGAGACCAUACCAGCACAAUGCAUCCCCCAGCGGGCUGCUGGGCGCAGCACCCCGGCGAUAGACGCGUGCCUCGCGGCGACGAAGGGGCGGCGGUCGCCCAGCAUGAUGCAGCCCCUGGCCGUCGUGGCACAAAUCCGCCAGGCCAAACCGGCUCGAUGCGGCUACCUCGCAGCUUAGCGCAUCUCCGCGGGACAGAUCUGGACCGGCUGGACUUCAUACAGAGGUGUGCGGCGCGGGGGAAAGAACCUGUUAGCUGGGAGAUAGGGAGAGGCAUCUUGGAGGGUUCUGGAAGGGAAAGGAGACUAAGAGACAGCCGUUGGAUCUGGAAGGAUUGUACGGUGAGGAUGGGCGAUCCGCGUGAAGGGAGGAUGGACCAAUCAGAUUGCAGGUAUUCACUCUGGAUCGAUGGGAAACUUAAACUUGUGAAGGAUCCUUAUCAGCUGUUAGAGAGAUUCUUGUGGAGGAAAAAUGUGCGCUUCGCUAUUUCUAGGCAUUAUAGACGCUUUGAUGUCCUUGAGGAAGCUAAGGCCAACAAGGCUGCUGGGAAGUACGAUAAUGCUUCAAUUGAUAACCAAAUAGAGUUCUACAAGAGAGAGGAUGUUCCUAAGGGCUGUGUAAUUAUAGGAGAGCACAAACCCAUCACCAAUCUAUUCACAUGCCUUUUGCUCAAUGAAGUUGAUCGUUCCACCUCAAGAGAUCAGCUAAGCUUUAGCACAGCGAGGGAUAAAAUAAGAUCAAGAGUUCUUUUCAACAACUAA
Molecule: ribosomal RNA, 798 nt
Filed under: Triticum aestivum (bread wheat)
Lineage: Eukaryota; Viridiplantae; Streptophyta; Magnoliopsida; Poales; Poaceae
Description: partial small subunit ribosomal RNA
Source: RNAcentral